Molecule: unclassified non-coding RNA, 874 nt
Filed under: Hevea brasiliensis (rubber tree)
Lineage: Eukaryota; Viridiplantae; Streptophyta; Magnoliopsida; Malpighiales; Euphorbiaceae
Source: RNAcentral
UCUAUUAUUUAGGAAUAUUUAAAAGUUUAAUUAGGUUAGAAUUUUUCUAGUUAGAUUGGUUCAGUAUUUUUUUUAUUGUUAGAUUGAGAUUUCUAAUCCUAGUAGUAUUAGGAUAGUUAUUAGUCUAUAAAUGUCUCUGUAAUUUAGGGAUUUUGGUAGAGAUUAUUAUUGACAAUUUGAAAAUUAAUAAGAAUUUUAAGAGCUUUAUUCCUUUUUCCUUUUGAGUGUUCCUGGUUCUACAUCAAUAUGGCAAUCGACUAUGCAUACUAUUUUUGUUCGUAUGUUUGAUUUUGAUCUUUUUAUGACCCCUUUUUGAUGUCAUAUGGUUGAGAAUUUUAUUGUUCUAAACAUGAACUGAAUAGGAAAGCUAGCGUAAGUAUGUAAUUCUGUCUAUAUUUUGAGAAGUCCUCCCUAUUUUAUGUUCUCCGUUAGUUCUAUGGAGUAACUUUUUCAUUCUUAAAUUUUGAACAUGUUUUGUGGCCUUAUUACUGGGUUAUCAUUAGCUGAUAUUUGGAUGUGAUUGGACAAAAUUAUUUCAUUAGAUUUGUCAUUUUAAUUGAUUCUAUUUGCUUCCAUGAGAGGAGGAUAUUUAGUAAUUUAGUCCCUCAUUUCAUAAUUCUCUUGACAAAAUCUUCUUUUACUUGGGGAAAAAGAAAUUGAGAACUUCAGCUUCUCGUUCCAAGUAUUCUGUUAUUAACAAAUUUUUGGAUGGCAGGUACAUGACAGAAGUGAGGAGGUUGCCGCUUCCCCAGAGCAAAACUGAGGCUGUUUACCGAGGAUUUCGAGAACUUGAAGAGUCUCUGAUAAGUCCUUUUUCUUAUGAUCGAUUCUAAUUCUUUUAUGUUCCUUGGUGUUGUAUGAAAUGUUUCUUUUC